This 443-nucleotide long non-coding RNA is filed under the name Prunus persica (peach). RNAcentral's name for it is "long non-coding RNA (PPER_LNC006268)". Lineage: Eukaryota; Viridiplantae; Streptophyta; Magnoliopsida; Rosales; Rosaceae. The record is from RNAcentral.
GCCAAUAAGCCCAACUGCUUUACAAGAAGUAUAGUAGGACAUUAAAAGCGAGCAAAUUAUCACUUGUUCUAUCCAUGUAAAAUAAUAAUAGCAGAUCAAUGGUUAUAGUCAAGACGUCGCAAUAACAACCCACUGCACCUAAUUGUAUAUGGUUAAGCCGACGUACAAAAUGGUGAUGAUUAUUAAGUUCCUACGUGCAAAAUUAUCUUUACGGAGCCUGCACCUACGGGCCUUGAAAGUUGGGCUACUCAAUUUAAAUUGUUGAAUCCAACGUAUAAAAAUUUGUCCCUCCACUUACUAUUCACCAGUUUUAUGUUUGUUCCUGUGAUGGUAGGGUAAAGUUCCCCAUUGCCUUGAGAACUAUUGACUGGUCAACAAGUCAACUUUCUUUAGUGUGCGAGUGUGCCACUGUUAGCAAUGAAAAUCCUAAUAGACUUUUAAAA